GAUGAACGCUAGCGGCAGGCUUAACACAUGCAAGUCGAGGGGUAGGUUACUUCGGUAAUUGAGACCGGCGCACGGGUGCGUAACGCGUAUACAAUCUACCUUUUACAGAGGGAUAGCCCAGAGAAAUUUGGAUUAAUACCUCAUAGUAUUUUUGAAUCGCAUGAUUUGAUUAUUAAAGUUCCAACGGUAAAAGAUGAGUAUGCGUCCCAUUAGCUAGAUGGUAAGGUAACGGCUUACCAUGGCUACGAUGGGUAGGGGUCCUGAGAGGGAGAUCCCCCACACUGGUACUGAGACACGGACCAGACUCCUACGGGAGGCAGCAGUGAGGAAUAUUGGACAAUGGGGCGCAAGCCUGAUCCAGCCAUGCCGCGUGCAGGAAGAAGGU
Molecule: ribosomal RNA, 385 nt
Filed under: uncultured bacterium
Lineage: Bacteria
Description: bacterial SSU rRNA
Rfam family: Bacterial small subunit ribosomal RNA
Source: RNAcentral